CCUACGGGGGGCUGCAGUGGGGAAUAUUGGACAAUGGGGGAACCCUGAUCCAGCCAUGCCGCGUGUGUGAAGAAGGCCCUCGGGUUGUAAAGCACUUUCAGUGAGGAAGAACGCCUGGUGGUUAAUACCCAUCAGGAAAGACAUCACUCACAGAAGAAGUACCGGCUAACUCCGUGCCAGCAGCCGCGGUAAUACGGAGGGUGCGAGCGUUAAUCGGAAUUACUGGGCGUAAAGCGCGCGUAGGUGGCUUGAUAAGCCGGUUGUGAAAGCCCCGGGCUCAACCUGGGAACGGCAUCCGGAACUGUCAAGCUAGAGUGCAGGAGAGGAAGGUAGAAUUCCCGGUGUAGCGGUGAAAUGCGUAGAGAUCGGGAGGAAUACCAGUGGCGAAGGCGGCCUUCUGGACUGACACUGACACUGAGGUGCGAAAGCGUGGGUAGCAAACAGGAUUAGAUACCCCAGUAGUC
RNAcentral lists this ribosomal RNA (464 nucleotides) under Vreelandella stevensii. RNAcentral describes it as "partial 16S ribosomal RNA". It matches the Rfam family "Bacterial small subunit ribosomal RNA", at positions 338 to 795 of the family's 1533-position model. Lineage: Bacteria; Pseudomonadati; Pseudomonadota; Gammaproteobacteria; Oceanospirillales; Halomonadaceae. The record is from RNAcentral.